UAUCCUAGAGGAUAAAGGAAAUCUUUGGGAAAGUCAGUAUUUUAUAUAGCAAAAAUAUGAACCUCAAACUGAAUCCUCUAAGGCCCCAUACAAUGAAGUAGACAUUGGUGGAAGCAUUUAUAAAUACCUGGGCACAGGACUUCAAAGCAAACACAGAUUCCCCCUCCCCCUUAAUAUUUAAGAAUUAAAAGAUGAUGAGAAAUAAGGACAAAAGCCAAGAGGAGGACAGUUCGCUACACAGCAAUGCAUCGAGUCACUCAGCCUCUGAAGAAGCUUCGGGUUCAGACUCAGGCAGUCAGUCGGAAAGUGAGCAGGGAAGUGAUCCAGGAAGUGGACAUGGCAGCGAGUCGAAUAGCAGUUCUGAAUCUUCUGAGAGUCAGUCGGAAUCUGAGAGUGAAUCAGCAGGUUCCAAAUCCCAGCCAGUCCUCCCAGAAGCCAAAGAGAAGCCAGCCUCUAAGAAGGAACGGAUAGCUGAUGUGAAGAAGAUGUGGGAAGAAUAUCCUGACGUUUAUGGGGUCAGGCGGUCAAACCGAAGCAGACAAGAACCAUCACGAUUUAAUAUUAAGGAAGAGGCAAGUAGCGGGUCUGAGAGUGGGAGCCCAAAAAGAAGAGGCCAGAGGCAGCUGAAAAAACAAGAAAAAUGGAAACAGGAACCCUCAGAAGAUGAACAGGAACAAGGCACCAGUGCAGAGAGUGAGCCAGAACAAAAGAAAGUAAAAGCCAGAAGACCUGUCCCCAGAAGAACAGUGCCCAAACCUCGUGUUAAAAAGCAGCCGAAGACUCAGCGUGGAAAGAGAAAAAAGCAAGAUUCUUCUGAUGAGGAUGAUGAUGAUGACGAAGCUCCCAAAAGGCAGACUCGUCGAAGAGCGGCUAAAAAUGUUAGUUACAAAGAAGAUGAUGACUUUGAGACUGACUCAGAUGAUCUCAUUGAAAUGACUGGAGAAGGAGUUGAUGAACAGCAAGAUAAUAGUGAAACUAUUGAAAAAGUCUUAGAUUCAAGACUGGGAAAGAAAGGAGCCACUGGAGCUUCUACUACUGUAUAUGCGAUUGAAGCUAAUGGGGACCCUAGUGGUGACUUUGACACUGAAAAGGAUGAAGGUGAAAUCCAGUACCUCAUCAAGUGGAAGGGUUGGUCUUACAUCCACAGCACAUGGGAGAGUGAAGAAUCCUUACAGCAACAGAAAGUGAAGGGCCUAAAAAAACUAGAGAACUUCAAGAAAAAAGAGGAUGAAAUCAAACAAUGGUAUAUUUUCCAUCAUGGAUUAAAGAAAUAUAUUUGCAGCCUGAAAGAAGGGAAGGUUUUAAAAUAAUGCAUGGAGAUCACAGCUAUCUAGAAUCUCAGAUUUUGCUUUGAUCAUCUAAACAUGGAGCCGUUUACAAUUCUAUUUUAUAAGAUUGUGACCUUAAGAUACUAUAUUUUUAUAUAUGGCUACCAAGUUUUUGGAGUUAACUAGCUUAUGGAGCAUUAUUCACACAUUCUUUAGUUUUCACAAUAAAUGCAUGAGAUUUGUACUGUUAUUACCCAUUUUGUAGAUGGGGAGAAUACGGCACACAGCAAUUCUGCAGGUGGACUCAGGAUUUGAACUCUGAUGCCCUGAAUCCAGAGCUCAUUCUCUUAAGCACCCUGUUAUUUUCCUGUAGUCAGGCUGGGGUGGCUUAGAUGUAGAGAGUUAAUAUUCUGGAACUCUCUGGGUUAUGAUAUACUUAAAACUAAUUCUGGUUUUGUACAAUUUGCAGAAAUGAUGUGAAGGAAAUGAUUAGGUAACUACUGAAACUGUGAUAGUCCUCGUGUGUGUAGUUUACUUACAGCCUUGAAUGUCUGGGUGUUGCAUAUGGGAAAUAUGUGGAGCUAUAGCACACAAAAACCUAAACUGGGUAAUAAUGGUAUCAAAUUCAGCCUGAAGACAUACCUGUCUGUGUGGUGUGAUCAGCCUAUUUUUGUGUCUGCAAUGUGCACAGAUUUUUGUGUCUGGAAUGUGGACAGUAAUUCUGGUUUUACUACUGUGCAAAAUGUGCUACUUUAGUAAAUUACAUGUUUUUUCUUUGACUCAAAACUGAAAAUAUGUACCCCUUAGAUGGUGAGGUAGGCUUGUAAAGCAGUUAGAAAUUGAAAUCCUCUGAAAUAUAAUAAUUCUAAUAUUAAGUUGCUACUGUUGUCAUCUGAAAGGUUUUGGUAAUAAGAAUAACUAGUUUUACAAGUCAUGUUUAAUCAAUCCUAAAACUCAUACUUAUAUAAGAAAGGGCAUACAGUUUUAUUAUCCUGAUUUUUUUAGAUGUAUGAAUUUGUCACAUGAAUCUGUCACAUAAAAUAGUUAUUUCUGGGUCUCUUUUUAGACAGGACACAUCAGAGGCAGGUAAUUGGUAUAUCCUUCUAUGAGUGUAAGGUUUUCAGUGUUCUCUAAAAGUGUUUUUUUUGUUUGUUUGUUUUGUUUUGUUUUGUAAAAUCUCUGGCCUAAUUACUAGUAAAGAUUACUUAAGGGGCAAAUGGGAGUAAAAAAAUAAGUUUUCUUUUCCACCUUUGACUUUUACUUUGAUGUAUGUAGAUCCCCAAACUUUAGUUUAUGUGUACUUUUUCUGUCUGUCUGCCAUUCAGGUUAGGGAAAGUUUCUCCUGAAGAUGUAGAAUAUUUCAAUUGCCAACAGGAGCUGGCUUCAGAGUUGAAUAAACAGUAUCAGAUAGUAGAAAGAGUAAUAGGUAAGUACAUGGUAACUCACUUCAGCCAUAUUUGAACUUGAGGAAUAGUGGCUUUUGCUUUUGGAAGUAAUGUAAAUUUUAAAAAUGCACUUUGGAGACUAGACAGGUCCUAGAUUUAUUUUAAAGGAAAAGCUAAGAAGAUUUGCUGGUAAAUUUGGAUGUGGUGGAUGAGAGAAAGAGGUGUUAAGUAUGACCUCAAGAUUUGUGGCCUAAACAUGUAGAAGUUUAGAGGUACCAUUUACCGAAGUGGAAAGAUGAAGGGAAGAGCUGAUCAUUGGAGUGGAAACCAAGAGCUUAGUUUGAUAUUUGUAAGUUUGAUUUACUUCUUAGUCAUCUAACUGGAGAAUAUAGUGAAGGCUGGAGCAUAUGUGAACCUGGAGCUUAGAACUCUUUAGUCUGGGCUGGAGAUUUAAAUUUGGAAAUUGGUCAGUAUUUAGAUAGUAUUUAAAGGCUAAGAUUGAACAGGACCAUCAGAAAUAGAGUAUCACAUGGUAAGAAGAAGUAGUCUGAGAGCAUUUCAGCGUUUGGAAGUCAGAAAGAAGCUAGCAAAGGAGACUGAGAAAGAACAGUUGGUGAGACAGGAGGAGAGCUGAGAGAGAGUGGUGGAAGCCUAGUGAUUCCCAUAGCCAGGAGAGAGGACAUGCUGUCAGUCAAGGACGAUUAGGACUGAGACUUGAUCUGUGAAUUUGGCACUGGCGAAACGCAUCCAUGGAGGGGUGGGAGUGCGGCCUGAUUAGGGUACGUUCAAGAGAAAAUGAGGGGAUAGCAAGUAUAAACAACUCGUUGGGGGAGUUUUCUUACAAAGGGGAACAGAGAAGUGGAGUGUCAGCCUGAGAGAGAGAUGAGAAAAAGAAUUUUUUUCUUCUUCUUUUUUUUUUUUUUUUUUUUUUGAGAUGGUGUCUUGCUCUGUUGCCCAGGCUGGAGUGCAGUAGCGUGAUCUCGGCUCACUGCAACCUCUGCCUCCCGGGUUCAAGUGAUUCUCCUGCCUCGGCCUUCCCAGUAGCUGGGAUUACAGGCACCCCCCACCCCCACCACGCCUGGCUAAUUUCUAUAUUUUUGGUAGAGACAGAGUUUCACCAUGUUGGCCAGGUUGGUCUUGAACUCCUGGUCUCAAGCAGUCUGCCUGCCUUGGCCUCCCAAAGUGCUGGGAUUACAGGUGUGAGCCACUAUAAUCCCACUUUUUUUUCUUUUUUAAGAUGUGAGGUAGUAGAAUAUAUUUGCAUUUUAUUCAUAGAACCUAAAAUCUUUCAUUCUUCAUUGUGUUUAUAACUUUUCUGUCUUAUUUUGUAUUUGUUUAGCUGUGAAGACAAGUAAAUCUACAUUGGGUCAAACAGAUUUUCCAGCUCAUAGUCGGAAGCCGGCACCCUCAAAUGAGCCUGAAUAUCUAUGUAAAUGGAUGGGACUUCCCUAUUCAGAGUGUAGCUGGGAAGAUGAAGCCCUCAUUGGAAAGAAGUUCCAGAAUUGCAUUGACAGCUUCCACAGUAGGAACAACUCAAAAACCAUCCCAACAAGAGAAUGCAAGGCCCUGAAGCAGAGACCACGAUUUGUAGCUUUAAAGAAACAACCUGCAUAUUUAGGAGGGGAGAAUCUGGAACUUCGAGAUUAUCAGCUAGAAGGUCUAAACUGGCUUGCUCAUUCCUGGUGCAAGUAGGUAGAAAAAUAUAAGUGCAGUUUUCCUUACCGUUUCUGGCUUCUUUAUUGUUAGAUGUCAAGAAUUUUUUUUUUUCUUUUGUCACACCCUUGUUGUAUCUCAACCAAGAAAUCUUUAUACUGCAUAUUACAGAAAUAAAAGAUGAUUGAGA
This 4496-nucleotide small RNA is filed under the name Pongo abelii (Sumatran orangutan). RNAcentral describes it as "retained intron". The record is from RNAcentral. Lineage: Eukaryota; Metazoa; Chordata; Mammalia; Primates; Hominidae.